Long non-coding RNA from Canis lupus familiaris (dog), 1719 nucleotides. RefSeq lists it as uncharacterized. The record is from RefSeq and is a predicted model, not a curated record. NCBI's taxonomy places the organism in Eukaryota, Metazoa, Chordata, Mammalia, Carnivora, Canidae. The transcript has 3 exons.
UGGCACUCACAUUACCUCUGUUCAUUCUAGGACUGCGUCGGACCAGCUGGGAGUCCGGCCCUGCGGUAGGCCAGGGGAUGUGAGGAUGAAGUACACGCGCCCUUGAGAGCUGCUAUUCCAGGUCCCCGCUCCUGUUAAAGGGUUAGCUGAGGUGACUGCGUGCAGGAAAUCACAGCAGAAGCACAGCACGCUUGCUGCCCUGAAAUGCCACUCUGUUUUCUGCUCUGGGGCUCUGGGGAUACAUGUUGAAAACCUGCAACGAAUAAACAGCAGAACCCACGACAUGAAGCCAAAAUCUCCUCUUUCAUCAUCAUUUUGCACCAGUAACAAAAGUGAAGUGAGAAGAGAGUCCAGGUCAAUGAAAAAUAUACAGCAACCUCAGCAAACCAGAAAGUGAGGAGAAGUUCCUCAAUUUGAAGAAUACCUACAAAAAACCCGACAGCACUUGGUUUCAUGAUGAGAAACUAGAAGAAACUAGAAGCUUUCCCACUGAGAUCAGGUACGAGGCAGGGAUGUCCCUCUCACCACUCUUUGUCAGCAUCAUACUGGGAUUCCCAGCUAAUGUGAUAAGGCAGGAAAGGAAACAAGAAGUGCACAGAUUAGGAAGGAAAAAAUAAAACUGUCUCUGUUUGCAGAUGACAUGAUCAUUUAGAAAAUCUUAACAAAUCCACAAAAAAACUCCCAGAACUAGUAAGCUUUUAGAGAAAAUUUGCAGGAUAUAAGGUUGAUACAUAAUAGUCACUUUUCUAUAAGCAUGCAAUAAACAAGUGGAAUUUGAAAUUAAAAGCAUAACACCAUUUACAUUAGCACCAAACGAAAUAAAUAUAAGUUUAGCAAAAUGUGUACAAGAUCUGAAUGAGGAAAACAACAGAACUAGUGAAAGAAGACAUCAAAGAAGAACUAAAUAAAUGGAGAGAUAUUCCAUGUUCAUGGAUAGGAUAACUUAAUACGAUCAAGGUGUCCUUUUGUCCCAAUCUGAUUUAUGAUUCAGCACAAUCCCACUCAAAAUCCCAGUAAGUUAUGUUGUGGAUGUUGAAAAGCUGAUUCUAAAAUUUAUAUGGAAAAGGAAAAAUCUAAGAAUAGCCAAGACAGAUGUGAACAAGAACAAAGUCAGAGGACUGACAUUACCCAAGUUAAAGACUUACUGUAAAGCUACAGUAAUCAAGACGGUGGUGUGGUAUUGGUAAAAGAAUAGGCAAAUAGAUCUAUGGGACACAGAAGAGUACAGAACAUGAAGAAGAAGAAACAGACCCACACAGGUAUAGUAAACUGACCUUCGAUAAAGGAUCAAAGACCAUACAAUGGAGAAAAGAUCAUCUUUUCAACAAAUGGUGUCAGAACAACUGGAACGUCUACAUGUGAAAAGAAUGAAAGUAGACACAGAUCUUCCAGCCCUCACAAAAAUUACCUCAAAAGGGAUCAUAGGCUUCGAAUGUAAAAUGCAAAAUCAUUAAACUUGUAGAAGAUAAGAAAAAAAAUCUACGUGGCCUUGGUAAGGCAGUAACUUUUUAGAUACAUCAAAGGCACAAUUAAUGAAAUAGUUUAUAAGCCGGAUUUCAUUAAAGUCAAAAGCAUCUCUGUGAAAAACACCAUCAAGAGAACAAGGAAGGAGACUGUGUAUCCUAAGAGGGGCAGGGAAUAUAUGAGAAUUCUCUGUACUUUCUGCACAAUUUUACUGUGAGCCUAAAAUUGCUCUAAAAAUAAAGUUAUAUAAAUAAA